UGCUUUUGAAACUACUAAGCUUGAGUACUGUAGGGGGUAGCGGAAUUCCUAGUGUAGGGGUGAAAUUCGUAGAUAUUAGGAGGAACACCGGAGGCGAAAGCGGUUAUCUGGACAGUCACUGACGCUGUUGCACGAAAGCGUGGGGAGCAAACAGGAUUAGAUACCCUGGUAGUCCACGCAGUAAACGAUGAGUGCUAGAUGUUGGGGUUUAAGUCUCAGUGUCGCAGCUAACGCAUUAAGCACUCCGCCUGGGGAGUACGGUCGCAAGAUUAAAACUCAAAGGAAUUGACGGGGACCCGCACAAGCGGUGGAACAUGUGGUUUAAUUCGAUGCUACGCGAAAAACCUUACCAGGCCUUGACAUGGUGAUCAUAUGGCUGCGAAAGC
Molecule: ribosomal RNA, 386 nt
Filed under: Candidatus Midichloria mitochondrii
Lineage: Bacteria; Pseudomonadati; Pseudomonadota; Alphaproteobacteria; Rickettsiales; Candidatus Midichloriaceae
Description: bacterial SSU rRNA
Rfam family: Bacterial small subunit ribosomal RNA
Source: RNAcentral